This is a long non-coding RNA of Homo sapiens (human), 1608 nucleotides long. The record is from Ensembl. Lineage: Eukaryota; Metazoa; Chordata; Mammalia; Primates; Hominidae.
AGUGCUACAACCGGAAACGCGGCUGGAGGCCAGUGGAUGCUUGAUGGAGCAGUUCGCGCCGUGGUGCGCGCGCGCCAGGGCUUAGGCUCCAAGUAAAGGCCUUCUUCAUCCAUCCACCCACAACCAGCUCGACCUGGGACUCCUGGCUCAGGCUUGGCGUGGGCUCCAUCCCACCGCGAUGCUAGCAUGCGUAUUGGGGUGCCUUGUCUUGGGGUGGGAGAACCUGUUGUAAGAAAUUGUUUGUGGUAUAGUCGAAAAUGACAGAAAUUUAGUCUGAAGUCUUGAGUUUAGGUCCAGGCUUUCCACUACUGUGCAUUCCUGGGCCGCUUGCUUAACCUCUCUGGACCCAGCCUCCUCAUCUUGCAGAGAGAAGUUCUAUUAUGAACUAAGUGGGUUGUUGGCGUUUGGUAAGAUGUAGAGUUGGAAGAUCUUUAUAAAGUAGAAGAAGCCUUAUUUUUGGUUGUCUAUUGUUAUUAGAACAUUUUGGCACUGUCUGGGGAAAGUCAGCCGGCACCUCAGCUGACUGGGGCGUAUGUUCCCGCAGAAGGAGACCCGGGCGGGGUCAAACAGGUUGAACCAUUGCCCUCUUCUGCUCAGAACAGGUGUCCCCAGCCUCGGGGAAAGACAUUUGGAAGGAAAAGCAGGGGGCGUCAGUGACCCUCCGAGGGCUGCAGAGGCUAGCCAUGUGCUCCUCUGAGGCCUUAAUCCCAGUAUCCCAAACAAGCCGCUCAGGACUGGGUCCCCGGCAGAUCGCCGCCCGAACUCGGCCCCCAGUUCGUUUCUUCCAGCGCUUGGCCUGGGCUCACCGCGCGCCCUCACCCCGGUCCAGCUGCGCCUAGAGUUCACUCGGGGCAGCAGAGGACCCGCGAGUAGGCGCUCAGACAGACAGACGCCGCGGUGCCGGGCGGUCUCCGGCUGCGCCCGGGUCUGCGAAUCAAAGGAGAAGCGUCCUUCUCUCACCCUCUCACCCCGCUCCGCUGGCUAGCCAAGCACGGAACCCGCCAGGCUCUGGCCAACCGGCUCACAUGGCCCGGAGCCCAGAGGCUCGCUGAGGCGGCUUCUCUUUACUUUAAACAGGGGGCCUCAUAAGACCUGUUGAGGGGCCCUGCAACACUGUAUACAGAAUCGCCUAUUUAAAAAAAUACACCCAAAAUACAAUUUUGAGACCAGCAUCCAGGCUCUGAAGACCUGUGACAGCCAUCCAUGGAGUCAUGUUAAGAACCUCCACUCCAACUAACCCAAAGCUCACAGCCCUGGAGGAGAAGAAGCCUGUUUGGGGAAUUCUACCUUGGCUCCAUGUCUCUGAAGAGGCUUGUCCCAGGGAAUAUAAUGGGAUCCUCGCUCACACACAACCCAACAGCCGACCCACAAUGGCACACCUCCCAGUUAUUGCCUUAGUCCGGCAAACCCCUGGCUAAGCAUCCACAGCCGAGCUGAGGGCAGUGAGAAAAGUUCAAGUCGCCAGCUGAAGUGGUCUUUAACACCCCCCCCCCGGCCUUCUCAGCCUCACUGUUUAUCCAUAUGAAGCGCUCUCCUUCCCGGCCCACUUCCACCCCCACCUUUCUGAGAUCGGCUAUAAAAAUAAACUAUUUUUCCUUGUUAAUAAAU